CCGCCCAAGAGUUCAUAUCGACGGCGGUGUUUGGCACCUCGAUGUCGGCUCAUCACAUCCUGGGGCUGAAGUAGGUCCCAAGGGUAUGGCUGUUCGCCAUUUAAAGUGGUACGCGAGCUGGGUUUAGAACGUCGUGAGACAGUUCGGUCCCUAUCUGCCGUGGGCGCUGGAGAAUUGAGGGGGGCUGCUCCUAGUACGAGAGGACCGGAGUGGACGCAUCACUGGUGUUCGGGUUGUCAUGCCAAUGGCACUGCCCGGUAGCUAAAUGCGGAAGAGAUAAGUGCUGAAAGCAUCUAAGCACGAAACUUGCCCCGAGAUGAGUUCUCCCUGACUCCUUGAGAGUCCUGAA
Molecule: ribosomal RNA, 349 nt
Filed under: Escherichia coli
Lineage: Bacteria; Pseudomonadati; Pseudomonadota; Gammaproteobacteria; Enterobacterales; Enterobacteriaceae
Description: partial 23S ribosomal RNA
Rfam family: Bacterial large subunit ribosomal RNA
Source: RNAcentral